UAACUGCUAAUCAGGAAUGGUCUAUGAAAUGGCUGAUGAAUUUUAAGGCUGGACAACUGAGGCACAGCAAGACUAGGACUCAGAUUUCCCAGCAUCCAGACUGCCAUCAGUCAUUCACAAGUUCAUCUUUCCUCAUCUCCUGGAAUGGAGAUGGAUGAAGCUUCUCAACUGUUUUCUGAUGGAGUGAUUUUUUUUUUCAAUUCCAGAGAAGAUCUGCAACUAUCCAAAUGUCAAACUAACUUUUCACUGCAACACUAAUCCAUAUCCUGCUCUAACCCAUUGUUCUUUGUCUCUAUUUUUUAUCUGUACCCUUUUCUCCCCCUCUCUCUUCAUCUAUCUUCUGACAUUUCAUAGCUUAUGAAUAAUUUGUAUAUCUGUCAGGUUUAAGGCUGCAGUCUUAAAAACUGGCUUCCCACAACACAGCUAUGUACUGAAUGUA
Long non-coding RNA from Trachemys scripta elegans, 439 nucleotides. RefSeq lists it as uncharacterized. The transcript has 3 exons. NCBI's taxonomy places the organism in Eukaryota, Metazoa, Chordata, Testudines, Emydidae. The record is from RefSeq and is a predicted model, not a curated record.